Molecule: ribosomal RNA, 1542 nt
Filed under: Salmonella enterica subsp. enterica serovar Rubislaw
Lineage: Bacteria; Pseudomonadati; Pseudomonadota; Gammaproteobacteria; Enterobacterales; Enterobacteriaceae
Also listed under: 3 other names
Description: bacterial SSU rRNA
Rfam family: Bacterial small subunit ribosomal RNA
Source: RNAcentral
AAAUUGAAGAGUUUGAUCAUGGCUCAGAUUGAACGCUGGCGGCAGGCCUAACACAUGCAAGUCGAACGGUAACAGGAAGCAGCUUGCUGCUUUGCUGACGAGUGGCGGACGGGUGAGUAAUGUCUGGGAAACUGCCUGAUGGAGGGGGAUAACUACUGGAAACGGUGGCUAAUACCGCAUAACGUCGCAAGACCAAAGAGGGGGACCUUCGGGCCUCUUGCCAUCAGAUGUGCCCAGAUGGGAUUAGCUAGUUGGUGAGGUAACGGCUCACCAAGGCGACGAUCCCUAGCUGGUCUGAGAGGAUGACCAGCCACACUGGAACUGAGACACGGUCCAGACUCCUACGGGAGGCAGCAGUGGGGAAUAUUGCACAAUGGGCGCAAGCCUGAUGCAGCCAUGCCGCGUGUAUGAAGAAGGCCUUCGGGUUGUAAAGUACUUUCAGCGGGGAGGAAGGUGUUGUGGUUAAUAACCACAGCAAUUGACGUUACCCGCAGAAGAAGCACCGGCUAACUCCGUGCCAGCAGCCGCGGUAAUACGGAGGGUGCAAGCGUUAAUCGGAAUUACUGGGCGUAAAGCGCACGCAGGCGGUCUGUCAAGUCGGAUGUGAAAUCCCCGGGCUCAACCUGGGAACUGCAUUCGAAACUGGCAGGCUUGAGUCUUGUAGAGGGGGGUAGAAUUCCAGGUGUAGCGGUGAAAUGCGUAGAGAUCUGGAGGAAUACCGGUGGCGAAGGCGGCCCCCUGGACAAAGACUGACGCUCAGGUGCGAAAGCGUGGGGAGCAAACAGGAUUAGAUACCCUGGUAGUCCACGCCGUAAACGAUGUCUACUUGGAGGUUGUGCCCUUGAGGCGUGGCUUCCGGAGCUAACGCGUUAAGUAGACCGCCUGGGGAGUACGGCCGCAAGGUUAAAACUCAAAUGAAUUGACGGGGGCCCGCACAAGCGGUGGAGCAUGUGGUUUAAUUCGAUGCAACGCGAAGAACCUUACCUGGUCUUGACAUCCACAGAACUUUCCAGAGAUGGAUUGGUGCCUUCGGGAACUGUGAGACAGGUGCUGCAUGGCUGUCGUCAGCUCGUGUUGUGAAAUGUUGGGUUAAGUCCCGCAACGAGCGCAACCCUUAUCCUUUGUUGCCAGCGGUCCGGCCGGGAACUCAAAGGAGACUGCCAGUGAUAAACUGGAGGAAGGUGGGGAUGACGUCAAGUCAUCAUGGCCCUUACGACCAGGGCUACACACGUGCUACAAUGGCGCAUACAAAGAGAAGCGACCUCGCGAGAGCAAGCGGACCUCAUAAAGUGCGUCGUAGUCCGGAUUGGAGUCUGCAACUCGACUCCAUGAAGUCGGAAUCGCUAGUAAUCGUGGAUCAGAAUGCCACGGUGAAUACGUUCCCGGGCCUUGUACACACCGCCCGUCACACCAUGGGAGUGGGUUGCAAAAGAAGUAGGUAGCUUAACCUUCGGGAGGGCGCUUACCACUUUGUGAUUCAUGACUGGGGUGAAGUCGUAACAAGGUAACCGUAGGGGAACCUGCGGUUGGAUCACCUCCUUA